RNAcentral lists this ribosomal RNA (480 nucleotides) under uncultured bacterium. Its description in RNAcentral is "partial 16S ribosomal RNA". It matches the Rfam family "Bacterial small subunit ribosomal RNA", at positions 28 to 507 of the family's 1533-position model. The record is from RNAcentral.
GAUGAACGCUAGCGGCAGGCCUAACACAUGCAAGUCGAGGGAGAGGUUACCUUCGGGUAACCAAAACCGGCGCACGGGUGCGUAACGCGUAUACAAUCUGCCUUUCACAUAGGGAUAGCCCGAAGAAAUUUGGAUUAAUACCUAAUGGUAUAUAAGAGCGGCAUCGUUUUUAUAUUAAAGCUACUGUGGUGAAAGAUGAGUAUGCGUUCUAUUAGCUAGUUGGAGAGGUAACGGCUCCCCAAGGCGACGAUAGAUAGGGGUUCUGAGAGGGAUGUCCCCCACACUGGUACUGAGAUACGGACCAGACUCCUACGGGAGGCAGCAGUGAGGAAUAUUGGACAAUGGUCGGAAGACUGAUCCAGCCAUGCCGCGUGCAGGAUGAAGGUCCUAUGGAUUGUAAACUGCUUUUGUAGGGGAAGAAUAAGGAGUACGUGUACUUUGAUGACGGUACCUUACGAAUAAGCAUCGGCUAACUCCGUG